GACGAACGCUGGCGGCGUGCUUAACACAUGCAAGUCGAACGGAAAGGCCCUGCUUUUGUGGGGUGCUCGAGUGGCGAACGGGUGAGUAACACGUGAGUAACCUGCCCUUGACUUUGGGAUAACUUCAGGAAACUGGGGCUAAUACCGGAUAUGAGCUCCUGCUGCAUGGUGGGGGUUGGAAAGUUUCGGCGGUUGGGGAUGGACUCGCGGCUUAUCAGCUUGUUGGUGGGGGAGUGGCUUACCAAGGCUUUGACGGGUAGCCGGCCUGAGAGGGUGACCGGCCACAUUGGGACUGGGAUACGGCCAAGACUCCUACGGGAGGCAGCAGUGGGGAAUAUUGCACAAUGGGCGAAAGCCUGAUGCAGCAACGCCGCGUGCGGGAUGACGGCCUUCGGGUUGUAACCCGCUUUCGCCUGUGACGAAGCGUGAGUGACGGUAAUGGGUAAAGAAGCACCGGCUAACUACGUG
RNAcentral lists this ribosomal RNA (468 nucleotides) under uncultured bacterium. RNAcentral's name for it is "partial 16S ribosomal RNA". It matches the Rfam family "Bacterial small subunit ribosomal RNA", at positions 28 to 507 of the family's 1533-position model. The record is from RNAcentral.